Molecule: long non-coding RNA, 1198 nt
Filed under: Androctonus crassicauda
Lineage: Eukaryota; Metazoa; Arthropoda; Arachnida; Scorpiones; Buthidae
Source: RNAcentral
UGUAUGGUAAUCACGUGCUUAAUUUAGCAGAGGGGUACGAUGCUAAACGACGUUCUACUUCUGUAAAAGAUGAGACUGUUCCAGCUGCAUUACGGGAAAAGGAAGUUUUUUCUUGUUAAUCGUGGUGUUGGUAGAAUAAAAGUUAAAAGCACGCUCUUUCUUCUUAACUCUACCUUCUAUCGGUUGAUUGCCAUGCCAUUUCUGACCUUCACAACCAAUAUAAUAUUGUCAAUUCCGAUAUCUUCCUUCAGCACCACGUCAGCAAUUGUGCAGCUGCGUCAUCUACAUCUACAUUUGUUACUUCUUCUGCAGCUUGCCAUUUACCGUUUAAAAAGUUUAUUUACGUUCUUCUAGGUGCAACAUUUUACAAUCAGAAUGGACUAAAGUGAGUGCAUCGUGCACCUGCUGGUUGCUAAUUUAAGUUUCGAUACCUCUUGGUCUUUCUUGUUCUAAAUCGCUGUCUCUCUUCGGUGUAGAUGUAGUAUUAAAAGGAAAGCAAUAGAGCAUGCGCUCCCUCCGUCUGACUGUUUUAGAUAUCUUCCACAGGAAAAUAGCGCAUCCUUAACGGAGUAACUUUCCAGUAGGGCCGAUAAUUAGAGGAAUUAAACAGAAUUUAUCUUUUCAUCAGAUAUGUAGAUGAUUAUAAGAAUUUUUCUGCAGCAACUCGCUACAAGAUGCAUCACUGCCGUCGCCGCCGCUGCUGCUGCUGCAGCGUGGCGAAUUGAGGGUGGUGCACGCUGUUAUCUCGCGCACUUCUUCUCCCCUUAGCAGCCAACAGGUGCACGCAAGAGCACCGCCGAUUGCAUAAGCGAAAAAAGUUAUGAAUUUGCACAGUACCACCAGCACGUUACCAGUCCACGUGGGUGAGAGCGGCCCAAGAGGAAUGGUCCGUCACGUGACACAUUACUAGUCUACUUCUCGGCGGAUGGUAAGACACUAAAUUACCAUUUUACUUAAUUUCUGAUCACAAAUAUGCGUAAUGUAUUGCUAAAACUUGUAAAAUUCUUUGAGAAGUUAACUAUAGACACCGAUCGGUUAAGAAUACCCAUUAUUCUUCGUCUUUAGUACAACAAGAUGGCGCAUCACCAUCGAAUAGGAAGAUGAUUCCGUAAAAAAAAAAAGAAAAAAAAAACAAACUUUGUUCUAAAGAUUUCAUUUUGUAAGUUACGAAGAAUUUAUUAUGAUCGGUGCACUUGGA